This is a long non-coding RNA of Nilaparvata lugens (brown planthopper), 313 nucleotides long. RefSeq lists it as uncharacterized. The transcript is spliced from 3 exons. The record is from RefSeq and is a predicted model, not a curated record. NCBI's taxonomy places the organism in Eukaryota, Metazoa, Arthropoda, Insecta, Hemiptera, Delphacidae.
AGGUUGAGGAUCAAUGGUUAAUCCAUUACAAAUAUCUUGCCAAAGUCGCUGAAGACUACUUAGAAGCAGUAAAUGGAUGAACCAGAUUGCUGGAGAUGGAGUGAUACAUGACAACAUUUCUGAGUGCAAUGCAUGGAUGCUGAUAUGAGCUGGACAUCCUGACGGGACUUGAGUCAUCGACCAGAGCCUUCAAGUGUGGCUGUUGACAGCUGUUGGAGGUGGAAGGAGUAACAUGCAUGGAUGAUAUGAGACCAAGACGAUGUGAGCUGGGCGGGCAACCUGAUGUCACUCGACCUUUCUGUCAUCACCCGAA